GUUUUCAUCUUUUUCACUUCUUAGCUCCAUUCUGAGUAAUUUCAAGAAGAUUUGAGGUCAAACUGGCAUUCAAAGUUGCUACUUUUUUUUGUCGGUGGGUUGUUAUUGACCACAUUUUUGCUCUUUCUGUAAGUUACUAUUUGCUCAUUUCCUGUUUCUGUGCUAAAAAGGUGUGAUUUUUGAGGAUAAAGCUCGCAACUUUUUCUUCCGUUUUGCUGGAUUCUUAGAUUUUACUCAAACAAGUUUGCACAGAUUUUGGGGGGAGGGUGUUGUCUUCUAGUGCUUCACUUCAGCUGAGUAAAGAUCCCUAAUUCAUUGCUUUUGAUUGUGCAAUAUCUAGAUUUAACUUGCCAAAAUUGGCUCUUUUGACCACCACUUUUAAGCUCCCUUGAUUUCAGAGCCUGCUAAAGCCUAUUACUUGCAUUCUUUUUGCGUAAGUUUGUUUACAUGUCCAAGAUUGUUUUUUUCUAGAAUUUUUCUAAAUGGGGUUCUGUGAAUUCCAAGCAUGGAUAUUCUUGAUCUGAAGAGGUGUUGAUAUUCCUUAAUUGUUUAUUGAUUACAGGUAACUUCUGUGAAAGAAUUAAGUGGGCAGAUUUGCCAGAUUUGUGGAGAUGAGAUUGAAGUUACAGUAGAUGGGGAGCCAUUUAUUGCUUGCAAUGAAUGUGCAUUCCCUGUUUGCAGACAAUGCUAUGAGUAUGAAAGAAGAGAAGGAAAUCAAGCUUGCCCUCAAUGCAAAACUCGGUUCAAGCGCAUUAAAGGGAGCCCCAGAGUUGAUGGAGAUGAUGAAGAUGAUGAAUUUGAUGACUUAGACCAUGAGUUCGAUUACCAUGGUAACCCUCGGUAUAUGUCUGAGGCUGCACUCUCUUCUCGCCUUGGCCGUGGUACCAAUCAUAAUGCUUCUGGGCUUACUACCCCAUCAGAAGUAGAUCCUGCAGCUCUUCACUCAGAGAUCCCUCUUCUUACUUAUGGUCAAGAGGUAAUCCCUCAAGAUUGUCAAUUUUUUUUGUACUCACUCUGUUGAAUUUUGGCUAAAAAGUUGCAACAUUUGAAUUUGUCGCUUAGGAUGAUACAAUUUCCGCUGACAAGCAUGCUCUUAUCAUCCCACCGUUUAUGGGUCGUGGAAAGAAAGUUCAUCCUGUGCCUUAUUCUGAUUCCAUGUCGUGUAAGUUAAAACAAGUUUGUGCUAAAUUUUAAUUCUUUAACCAAUUUUCCAGUAUUAGAGGGCCUAAUGUGUUUGAUACUUUGCAGUGCCUCCUCGGCCCAUGGAUCCUAAGAAAGAUUUGGCAGUUUAUGGAUAUGGGACUGUUGCAUGGAAGGAAAGAAUGGACGACUGGAAGAAAAAACAGAAUGAUAAAUUGCAGGUGGUUAAGCACGGAGGCGGUAAAGGCGGUGGUACCGAUGGAGAUGAGCUGGAUGAUCCCGAUUUGCCCAAGUAGGUGUAUGCGUUCCAUUUUUGUAACCAGCCUCAUGAGUGAUCUGUGAUAUGACUUGCACUUUAUUUUAUUUGUGGGAUGGUGACUUGCAGUUGUUGCAAGCUGUAGAUAUUAUUGAUUGUGUGGGAACUAUGUGCUGAAGAAAAUACUCAAGUACUACGGUUUUCUUACUUUAGUACGAGGCGUGAAAAGCUGGUCAUGUAACAUGUGUUUCGAUUUUUUAUGAGGUCCGUUUAGUUGAGACUGCCUUAAGAAGUUUGAUCAUACCAGACGGCAACUUAGUCUCGUGCAGGUUACUGCGCCUUUCAAAAAACUAAUUCAGUUGUCAUUCUGUUUCAAUAAGUAUGUGAAAGGGAAAUCUCAUUAAUGGAAAUGGUAGCCUCACUGAGCCGUUGAUCAAAAGGGAUACAAAAUUUAAUCAUGGAUGGAUGUCCAUCCACCUUUUUGCUGCAGCUGCUGCGUUGAUGUAGUUUUGGCACCCUGGGGUAGACUUGCUUGUGACUUGGAUGUACUUGCUUAUUGAUCAAACUAGAAUCUCUGCACUGUCUAAUUGCCUUUGGAGUUAUUCUCCUUUUGAAAGAAUCUUAAUGACAAAGAGACUUCCCAAUGAAAUUAAUUACCCUUUUUUCUUAACAAAAAAUUAAGCAAAUGUAAGUUGUACUUGCAUAAAAAAAGAUAUGAAACAUAGGGAUAAAUGUUGCAGAUUAGUCACUUGAAUUGAAGCAUUUUUGUACAGCAUAGUCCAUCUCUUUUGCCACUUCCCUUUUGUUGUUGGGGUAUAACAUGUUCCAUGUCUAUUUAUUCCAGCGAGGACCUUAGUUUCUAAAACCCAAUCACUGCUUUAUUUGAACAUUCUUUGUAUCAGUAAGAUUUGUCUUUCUUAUUUUAUCUCUGUUUGCAGGAUGGAUGAAGGCAGACAACCACUUUCGAGAAAGCUGCCUAUUUCCUCUAGUAGGCUGAGCCCAUACAGAUUACUCAUUUUAGUUCGUCUUGCUGUUGUUGGGCUCUUUUUCCACUAUAGAAUAACGCAUCCUGUCAAUGAUGCAUAUGCAUUGUGGCUGAUUUCUAUCAUAUGUGAAAUAUGGUUUGCGGUAUCGUGGAUAUUUGAUCAGUUCCCUAAAUGGUUUCCGAUUGUGCGAGAGACAUACCUGGACAGGCUAUCUCUGAGGUAUACGCCUAAUAUAAUAGGUGUGUCUGUGUGUAUACAUACAUGCCUCUCUGUUCAUGUCCUUAUCUUAAAUGUUUUUGUACCUGGAUAGGCUAUCUCUGAGGUAUAUGCAUAAUAUAAUAGGUGUGUCUGUGUGUAUACAUACUUGCCUCUCUGGUCAUGUCCUUACCUUGAAUGUUUUUCUCAGGUAUGAGAAAGAAGGGAAGCCUUCUGGGUUAGCUCCUAUAGAUAUAUUUGUUAGUACGGUGGAUCCCAUGAAAGAACCUCCGCUUAUUACUGCAAAUACCGUUCUCUCCAUUC
This 2901-nucleotide long non-coding RNA is filed under the name Nicotiana benthamiana. RNAcentral's name for it is "long non-coding RNA (NBEN_LNC021451)". Lineage: Eukaryota; Viridiplantae; Streptophyta; Magnoliopsida; Solanales; Solanaceae. The record is from RNAcentral.